UACGUAGGGUGCAAGCGUUGUCCGGAUUUAUUGGGCGUAAAGAGCUCGUAGGCGGUCCGUCGCGUCGGCUGUGCAACCCGGGCUCAACCCGGCCUGCAGUCGAUACGGCGACUAGAGUUCGGUAGGGAGACUGGAAUUCCUGGUGUAGCGGUGAAAUGCGCAGAGAUCGGAGAACACCCGUAGCGAGGCGCACUCUGGCCGGUACUGACGCUGAGAGCGAAGCGAUGGGAGCAACAGG
RNAcentral lists this ribosomal RNA (238 nucleotides) under uncultured bacterium. RNAcentral's name for it is "partial 16S ribosomal RNA". It matches the Rfam family "Bacterial small subunit ribosomal RNA", at positions 524 to 775 of the family's 1533-position model. The record is from RNAcentral.